GUGCUCAUUUCAGCAGCAGAUAUACUAAAAUUGGAACAGUACAGAGAUUAGCAUGGCCCCUGCACAAGGAUGCCACACAAAUUCGUGAAGCAUUCCAUAUUAAA
Acomys russatus (golden spiny mouse) is the source of this 104-nucleotide small nuclear RNA. NCBI's taxonomy places the organism in Eukaryota, Metazoa, Chordata, Mammalia, Rodentia, Muridae. The record is from RefSeq and is a predicted model, not a curated record.